CAGGUCCCCAGCAUUCCAGGGGUCCAUCCCCCAGACCCUCGCCAGCCAAGUCUUCAGCCCACCUGGAGAGGCCAAAGACAGCGCCCUCUGCUGUUCAGAAGCAGAAGCCAGUACAGUCAGUGAAUGGUUACUACCAGCUGACUGGUGUAGUCUCUCAUUUGGGAGGCUCCGCAAACUCCGGGCACUACAUUAGUGACAUAUUGCAUGCCAGUGGGAACUGGUUCUGCUGUAACGACAGCCAGGUAUCAAUGUCCAAUGAAGCCACUGUGCUGAGGACCAGAGCCCGGAGUGCCUACAUGCUCUUCUAUAUGUUCAGGGCAAUAGAGCGGGAGGCCCCAGCACACAGGGCCUAACAGGGCCACCAGCAUCAGCCCCAGCCUAAACAGGGGCAGCACCUGGACCAGCCUCCAAACACUCAGACCUGUCUCAACAGGGAUAGUAGCAGGCCCAGUCUCAAAACCCCCAGCCCAGCCUCAACAGGGGUAGUACCAGGCCCAGUCUCAAACCCCCAGCCCAGCCUCAACAGGGGUAGUACCAGGCCCAGUCUCAAAACCCCCAUCCCAGCCUCAACACUCACACACCUGCCUCAAAAGGGGUAGCAUUUGGCCCAACAUCAACACACCCAGCCCAGCCUCAACAUGGGAAGAACCAGGUCCAGCCUCAACAUGGGCAGAACAAGACCCAGCCCCAACACCCUCAGACCUGCCUCAACAGGAAGAUUUAUCGUCUGGGAUUCAGGCCGGUCCUAACAGGAAACGUGACAAAGGGAAGCAGCUGUAAUGGAGCCUUCUAACACCCAAUCAGGUCUGGAGGAGGAAUGUCACAUAAAGAUUCAGAGAUGCUAUGAGUAUCUUUUGAAGUUACACCCCAGUUGUAUUCCAUUUGAAUAAAUACAGACAUGAAAAUGCUGGGCUAUGGAUGUGACCUUAGUUCUGUGAGUAGAAUAACGGGUCACCAAACAACCUAUGGGAACUCCUUCCCUUUCACGUGAUAUGAUUGAGAUGCUUAAUAUCAACGAUGUUUACAAUGACGCCACACCCUUACUGUACCAUUGUGACCUGUCACUAUUAAAGCCGAU
Long non-coding RNA from Oncorhynchus tshawytscha (Chinook salmon), 1078 nucleotides. NCBI's taxonomy places the organism in Eukaryota, Metazoa, Chordata, Actinopteri, Salmoniformes, Salmonidae. The record is from Ensembl.